Molecule: ribosomal RNA, 868 nt
Filed under: uncultured Corynebacterium sp.
Lineage: Bacteria; Bacillati; Actinomycetota; Actinomycetes; Mycobacteriales; Corynebacteriaceae
Description: bacterial SSU rRNA
Rfam family: Bacterial small subunit ribosomal RNA
Source: RNAcentral
CUGGCGGCGUGCUUAACACAUGCAAGUCGAACGGUAAGGCCCCAGCUUGCUGGGGUACACGAGUGGCGAACGGGUGAGUAACACGUGGGUGACCUACCCUGCACUUCGGGAUAAGCCUGGGAAACUGGGUCUAAUACCGGAUAGGACUACGCCGUCAAGGGUGUGGUGGAAAGUUUUUCGGUGCAGGAUGGGCCCGCGGCCUAUCAGCUUGUUGGUGGGGUAAUGGCCUACCAAGGCGGCGACGGGUAGCCGGCCUGAGAGGGUGGACGGCCACAUUGGGACUGAGACACGGCCCAGACUCCUACGGGAGGCAGCAGUGGGGAAUAUUGCACAAUGGGCGGAAGCCUGAUGCAGCGACGCCGCGUGGGGGAUGACGGCCUUCGGGUUGUAAACUCCUUUCACCAUCGACGAAGGUUUUCUGACGGUAGAUGGAGAAGAAGCACCGGCUAACUACGUGCCAGCAGCCGCGGUAAUACGUAGGGUGCGAGCGUUGUCCGGAAUUACUGGGCGUAAAGAGCUCGUAGGUGGUUUGUCGCGUCGUCUGUGAAAUUCCGGGGCUUAACUCCGGGCGUGCAGGCGAUACGGGCAUAACUUGAGUACUGUAGGGGAGACUGGAAUUCCUGGUGUAGCGGUGAAAUGCGCAGAUAUCAGGAGGAACACCGGUGGCGAAGGCGGGUCUCUGGGCAGUAACUGACGCUGAGGAGCGAAAGCAUGGGUAGCGAACAGGAUUAGAUACCCUGGUAGUCCAUGCCGUAAACGGUGGGCGCUAGGUGUAGGGGUCUUCCACGACUUCUGUGCCGUAGCUAACGCAUUAAGCGCCCCGCCUGGGGAGUACGGCCCCAAGGCUAAAACUCAAAUGAAUUGACGG